GUUCUACUUUUUCCUAUUCUUUUCCUAUUCCUUUUAAUAUUUUCUUUGCAGGAUAAACUAUGAUGCCAAAUUCCGUCCAAGAGAAGAAGGAAACGAACCUUAGGAGGACUGAGUUAUGAUAACAAUUCCGACCAAGAGGAAGGGGAUGUGGAUUAGAAGAUGGACCAGAAGUGGACUAAGUUAUGGUAAAUGGUAGUAAAAAAUAAUUA
RNAcentral lists this long non-coding RNA (209 nucleotides) under Polistes fuscatus (common paper wasp). RNAcentral describes it as "uncharacterized LOC122518180". The record is from RNAcentral. Lineage: Eukaryota; Metazoa; Arthropoda; Insecta; Hymenoptera; Vespidae.